This 398-nucleotide ribosomal RNA is filed under the name Rhizobium leguminosarum. RNAcentral describes it as "bacterial SSU rRNA". It matches the Rfam family "Bacterial small subunit ribosomal RNA", at positions 60 to 506 of the family's 1533-position model. The record is from RNAcentral. Lineage: Bacteria; Pseudomonadati; Pseudomonadota; Alphaproteobacteria; Hyphomicrobiales; Rhizobiaceae.
AGUCGAGCGCCCCGCAAGGGGAGCGGCAGACGGGUGAGUAACGCGUGGGAAUCUACCCUUGACUACGGAAUAACGCAGGGAAACUUGUGCUAAUACCGUAUGUGUCCUUCGGGAGAAAGAUUUAUCGGUCAAGGAUGAGCCCGCGUUGGAUUAGCUAGUUGGUGGGGUAAAGGCCUACCAAGGCGACGAUCCAUAGCUGGUCUGAGAGGAUGAUCAGCCACAUUGGGACUGAGACACGGCCCAAACUCCUACGGGAGGCAGCAGUGGGGAAUAUUGGACAAUGGGCGCAAGCCUGAUCCAGCCAUGCCGCGUGAGUGAUGAAGGCCCUAGGGUUGUAAAGCUCUUUCACCGGAGAAGAUAAUGACGGUAUCCGGAGAAGAAGCCCCGGCUAACUUCGU